RNAcentral lists this small RNA (79 nucleotides) under Enterobacter hormaechei. RNAcentral's name for it is "sroB". It matches the Rfam family "sroB RNA". RNAcentral also lists the same sequence under 1 other name. The record is from RNAcentral. Lineage: Bacteria; Pseudomonadati; Pseudomonadota; Gammaproteobacteria; Enterobacterales; Enterobacteriaceae.
UAGCCGAAGGUCACUUCGGUAUAAUAAAAACGAUGAAAUUCCUCUUUGACGGGCCAAUAGAAAUAUUGGCCAUUUUUUU